AGUGACUGUCCUCUAUUGACCAAUCAACAGACUGCAGUGUUCACAGCUCCACCUUUUAGUACCAGAUCUGUGUGCUAGGUACCCCAACAGAGGGGGGACCAAAAAUGUGGACAGUACGGAUUGAUUCCAUUGGCACCAUCCACAACUUUUCACAGUGGAAACGGAAAAAAAGUGCACCAAACUGAACCAUACCGUACAGGUUGGUGGAAACGGGGCUUUAGAGACUGAAUCUGAACUGCAGAGCCUCCACAUGAUGCUGUCAGUAUCCAGCCAGCUGCACAGCCAGCCACACUGAGGCCACUCUCCCGACCUCAGACACAGUACACUUCAGUUGCUUUGUCUUCCGAUCCAGCAGUAGCACCUUAAACAACCUUAAUACAGCUGAUAUGGCACACAAGCUAAUUUGACCAUAUCUCAUUAAAGUGGAUUCAUGAUUUUUAUCCCCCGCGCUGUCCAACCCCCUCCAGACUAACUUGCAGUGAAAGCCUGCAACCACGGCAACUGCAAAGCACCGAAACUUUUUAAUGAGGGAUACACUAUAUCUCUCAUUUCUGUUAUGAAUUCAAAUGUAUCCCAUUUUCACACAGACAAUGCAUUUAUCUUAUUUGAAUACUAAUAUGACAUUAUAUUAAUUAUGAUUACUGUUUUUCAGUUUGCUACCAUCUAAUAUAAUUUAUGUAUCACUAUAUAUGCUCAUAUGUGUUGCCUUGCUGUUGUAAAAUGUACAUACUGAACUCAAAUAAACACUUUCUUAUAGGAGCAGUUUUAA
Molecule: long non-coding RNA, 769 nt
Organism: Epinephelus fuscoguttatus (brown-marbled grouper)
Lineage: Eukaryota; Metazoa; Chordata; Actinopteri; Perciformes; Serranidae
Exons: 2
Source: RefSeq, a predicted model, not a curated record